This 251-nucleotide ribosomal RNA is filed under the name uncultured bacterium. RNAcentral describes it as "partial 16S ribosomal RNA". It matches the Rfam family "Bacterial small subunit ribosomal RNA", at positions 85 to 339 of the family's 1533-position model. The record is from RNAcentral.
GCGCUGACGAGUGGCGGACGGGUGAGUAACGCGUAGGAAUCUGCCUUAUAGUGGGGGACAACGUGGGGAAACCCACGCUAAUACCGCAUACGCCCCACGGGGGAAAGGCCGGGAUCUUCGGACCGGUCACUAUUGGAGGAGCCUGCGUAGGAUUAGCUAGUUGGUAGGGUAAAGGCCUACCAAGGCGACGAUCUAUAGCUGGUCUGAGAGGACGAUCAGCCACACUGGGACUGAGACACGGCCCAGACUCC